GGAGCCUCGCAUCACACGGUCAAUGAUGCCACGUCGCUUCAUGCUCUGGCGGACUACACCGGACCGAACGAAAUCAUGCUGGGUGAUGGAUCGGCAAUCGGGAACUCCUCUCGUACAGGGUCCAGUCGUGAGUGACGUUUACAACCUCCCAGUCCAGCGGCCUCAACUUAAUGUUACCACCAAGUGUUCCCUGUUAAGUUGGCAUCAUCAGUUUAGUCAUCCCAACUCUAAAGUGUUAGCCUGUCUUCUUAGAAAUAACAAUAUUAAUUUCAUGCCUGAUAAGCUUAAUGCAUUUUCUUGUAACUCGUGUCAUGUUAAUAAAAGUCACAAACUCCCGUUUUCCUUUAAUUCCAUGACCAGUUCACGCCCGUUGCAGUUACUUUACACGGAUGUGUGGAGUUCCGCAACGGUCUCCGUGGAUGGUUU
This is a long non-coding RNA of Ipomoea nil (Japanese morning glory), 426 nucleotides long. RefSeq lists it as uncharacterized. Lineage: Eukaryota; Viridiplantae; Streptophyta; Magnoliopsida; Solanales; Convolvulaceae. The transcript has 2 exons. The record is from RefSeq and is a predicted model, not a curated record.